GUCUAGGGCCAUGCCGCCCUGAACACGCUGGUUUUCUAAUCUCGGAAGCUAAGCAGGGUCUGGCUGGUUAGUACUUGGUUAGGAGACCAUCUAGGAAGACCAGGUGCUGAAGGUA
This 115-nucleotide ribosomal RNA is filed under the name Pteropus alecto (black flying fox). Lineage: Eukaryota; Metazoa; Chordata; Mammalia; Chiroptera; Pteropodidae. The record is from RNAcentral.